AGGUCCGUGAGUCACUGGCAGGAAAGCUGUCAUUAAAGAACCUCAGUUCCAGUCCUACCAGGAGCACUAAUGCUGGAACAUCAUCUACAGGUGGACUGGGUAUCUUACGAUGGCUGCGUAGGAGAAAUGUAUACAACUUGUCUGAUCCCAGCCCAGCUACCUCUGCUAACAGCUCUACAUAACAUCUAUUAACUAAAACCAGGUGCCUUAUUUAAAUAUAUUUUGUCUGUUACAUGUAAACGACACUUUCUUUUACUGUUUUGGAAAUUAAAUUUGUGUUCUGUAAUCAAUGUCCUUAGAUUAUGUUAAACUGUCAAAUUAAGUGUGCAAUUUGUAAACAUUAUGUGGCGGUUUCCCGUAUAAGGAUUAGACUAGUCCUAGACUAAAAUAAAUUUAAGAGCUGUUUAAACUGAAAACAACUUGCACUGAAAUAUCUAGAAAAAAAAUGCAUUACCUCUGCCAGUAAUUCCUUUAGGAAGACAUGUUUGUUAAAACUAGUUAUAUUUCACAGCACAGCCUCUCGUAACUUAUUGCUUACUUAAUAAACAAAGAGUUUUAUUCAAAACCUUUGUGAACUU
Paramisgurnus dabryanus is the source of this 578-nucleotide non-coding RNA. Lineage: Eukaryota; Metazoa; Chordata; Actinopteri; Cypriniformes; Cobitidae. The record is from RefSeq and is a predicted model, not a curated record.